Molecule: non-coding RNA, 3904 nt
Organism: Rattus norvegicus (Norway rat)
Lineage: Eukaryota; Metazoa; Chordata; Mammalia; Rodentia; Muridae
Source: RefSeq, a predicted model, not a curated record
AUUAAAAAUUAAUAAUAAGCCGCCUAGCUACCCAAAAAGAAGAGGUAGGGUCUGUGAGAACAUGAACUUUUCGCCCCUCCCUUGCUGUGCAAUGGUUCCCGGAACAUUCUUGCAUGAAAGGUUUCCUGGAACAGCCACAAUGACCCAUAGCCUCCGGCCACAAUGGUCCAAUGGCCCUGUAAAAUGUCGCAAAGUCCUGGGUGUGUUGCCUAGUGUUGCACGUGGCUAGCAUAUGGCCUAGAUGUAUGGGCAGUUUAUGGUUUUGGAAUUCCCCUCCUCCCUCCCUCUUGAUCCCCCUGGUUUGUGGUUUUUUCCUUUAUAAGCUCUGUGAAAAUUCAGGUCGGGGUCGAACUCCUCUACUCCCUGUGUGGCAUAUGAGUCUCGACCCCAGCAUGCUGGCCUGAGCUCUCGUUUCAUCUCGCUCACAAUAAAUCUUCCUCGUGUGAUUACAGCAGGUCGGUGUCUGUGUCCUACUGGGUGCGCGUCUUUCCCGAGACUUGAGUGGGGGGCUCCCUUCGGGGGUCUUUCAUUUGGGGGCUCGUCCGGGAUCUGCGCGACCACCCAGGGGUCCUAGACCCACUUGGAGGUAAGAUUCUCUGUUUUAUCUCAGCGCUGUGUCUGGGUCUGUGUCUAUGUUCUGUCUGGGAAUCUGGUGCGAUCGCUGUUUCGGUUUUGCGGACGCUCAGUGAGACCGCGCUCCAGGAAGGAGAGCGGGGUGGAUAGGGAUAGACGUGUCCAGGUACCCACCGUCCGUUCGCCCUGGGAGAUGUCCCAGGAGGACAAGGGGGGACCAGGGACGCCUGGUGAACCCCAUCUGAUAGGUCCAGAGGAGACUUUACUCCUUGACGACCGGUUUGUUAGGCAAGGUCUGCGACCUGCCGAUCAGUUUCAGUGCCUCUGGUCGACACGAAGUCGACGUCGGUUUUGUUUUUUUUUUUUUUUUCUCUUUUGUUUGUGCUCGUGUGUGUGAGUGUGUGUGAAUUAAGUCCUGUAGUCUGUGUUUUUCGGUACCGGUUUAAGGUCUUAGUGCACUGUCUGGGCAGAUGAAGGAUUCCUGCCCUGUGCACGAGAGUCUUAGUGCACUGUCUGGGCAGAAGAAGGUUUCCUGCCCUGUGCACGGGUGGAAGAAGGUUCCCCACCCCGAAAUGGCGCCUGUGAGUAGAUGAAGGAUUCCUACUCCGAAUAGUCUUUUUCUUUCUUUUUUUCCUUUUUAGAAAGCGCACCGGGGGACGCCCCAAUCGCGCAGGCUCUGGGACUCGUGAGAGACGUUCCACGAGUCAGCCUUUGUUGGGUCCUGGCUCUGGGACGCGUGAGAAACGUUCCUCGAGCCGAAUUUUGUCGGGAGGACCCGGCAACGGACAGUCAAAAAGAUCUGACUGUGACUUUGGAGGUCGAGUUCGGCUGCCUAUUUAAGUAUAGGCACGGACAAGUGUGCUUAGAUGUGUUAGUGUCUGUUGUCUGUAUUCUGUUUCUGUGUUUGGUAUCCCAGAAGCAGCUAAGGUUAAGCUGCAGUUUGGGCCACGUACUGAAGGUACCAGGCAUCUGUGGAAAUUGGUUAUAGGAUGCUUUGUCUUGGUCUUGUUUGUCUGGAUUGUUUUCUGUGGUAUUGUCCAGUGUUUUUUUUGACUUUUGUUUCGUGUUUGAAUUUGGACUGACGACCGUGUUUAAAAUCUUGGACUGACGACUGUGUUUGAAAUCAUGAAACUGUUUGCUUUGUUCGUUGAAGAGUUUUACUUGGUCCCCUUAAUGCUUAGUAAGAAACUUAAUCUUAUGGACCCCGCUCUAGUGGCGGUGUGUUGGUUGAUAGCCAAAGUUAAUUUUUAAAAUAGUGUUUUAUCUGUGCUUGUGCUCGCAGCACACAGUAGAGGGGAGCGAAAUUAGCUGCGGAGCUGCUGCAGCGAGCAUGGGGACUUCUCAAGUCUCACCCAAUUUUUCUGGCUCUUCAGGAGCUGUUUAAAAGGAAAAGGCUUAAGGUAAAAAGAAACACUAUAGAGAGAUUUCUUAGUGAAUUACUACACCUUGGUUCGCGAUCUCUGGGAAUCUCAUGGUGGACAGCUGAGAUAAGCUGGAAAAGGAUUUAAAUUUUGCUUGGGAGCAAAGAAUCUUAAAGGUGGAGUUUCAGCCGGUAUGACACUUAGUGCGUAGCUGCCUAAAAGAUCAGAAAUGCUGUUAAUAGGCUAUAAAAAAAGGGACAGGCUGUGUUAGAAAUGCUACAGAAGAAUAAUCUAAAAAGGCUGAGAGCUAGGUGGGGCUAUAAGGAAAACAAGAACAGGAAAGGAAUUUCUGACAUUUGCUCACAGAAGGAGAGUGCUCAUUUAGAGAAGUUCUUUAAGGAAGCCUGCCUUAUCUGCUGUCUUUAUUCCAAGGGAGGAGUCAGUCUCCAGCACUAAAUUACUUGGAGGUAGCCAAGGUCAGGAUUAAUGUUUUCUUUUCCAUGGGCCUUUAAACCCAGUGAGACAGUUUGGUAAAGGGCUACUACUGAGGUCCUGAUAGCCCCAGGUGAACUGGUUACAAUUCUUUUAUCAGCCCCCUGGCAUCUAGCACCCAGGUUCUAACCAUCUCUCCAUCCUUUUGUUAUUAGUUGUUACUAGAAGCCUAGUGUCAUUUGGAGGCUGGUUCUCUUGAGAGGCAAAGCCAUGGAGCUGACACUGACAAUGGCCUUUUUGUUCCAAGAAAGGCCUCCUGGUUUAGCUGUGUGACUAAAUGCUGUUUGCCCUCUUCGGUAGACUCUAUUCUCAAGAUUCUCUUGUUUUCUCACCAUCCCAUUUGAUAUGCUUGUUAGUAACUGUUACAGGUCUUCUUUACCACCGAUGAAAGACGGAAUCCUACUGGAGACCAGAAAAAAAUGUUCCAGACACGGAUAGAAGGCCCUCACUUCUGCCUGCUCUCUUCAGACGCCUGAAGGCUAAAAGACCUACAGGUGAUACAGAAAGAAAUCUGCUCACAGCUGACAGCAGCCUAUGCCCCGGAGACCCCUGAGACAUCCCAUCAGUUCCAGGUUGCACUGAGUCCAGACACUCGAGCCUCGCUGGAAAGGACCGUACCUGGUGCUGCUGACCACCCUGACAGCUGUCAAUUCUCAGCCCUCACCAGCCGUGUACUAGCUGUUGGGGCUGAGAGCUGGGACCUAGAGGGAAAUUCAGUCAUGUUUGUCCUGGGUUCUAUCAAGAUAGGUGUGGGAUAGGCUUGAUUUCCAUUACAAAUGAUGUAACAUUGCAUAUGUUAGUACUCUUAACACUUCUUGGGACUGUGCCUCAGGGAUCACAGUCCGUAUAAGCUUAGAAGUUCUAAAAGCUAGUCAUGACCUUGGUGGAUAGGCUUGGAUAGUGUCCAGGUUAGAAUCCUCAUGUUAAAACUACAAUACCAAGCUGUUAUGCUAGAUGAAGCUGAGUUCUCCAUGAAGUUCUAGGAUUAGAACUAUUAACAAAAAAAGAAGAAGUGGGGAAUGAAGGAUUAAAAAUUAAUAAUAAGCCGCCUAGCUACCCAAAAAGAAGAGGUAGGGUCUGUGAGAACAUGAACUUUUCGCCCCUCCCUUGCUGUGCAAUGGUUCCCGGAACAUUCUUGCAUGAAAGGUUUCCUGGAACAGCCACAAUGACCCAUAGCCUCCGGCCACAAUGGUCCAAUGGCCCUGUAAAAUGUCGCAAAGUCCUGGGUGUGUUGCCUAGUGUUGCACGUGGCUAGCAUAUGGCCUAGAUGUAUGGGCAGUUUAUGGUUUUGGAAUUCCCCUCCUCCCUCCCUCUUGAUCCCCCUGGUUUGUGGUUUUUUUCCUUUAUAAGCUCUGUGAAAAUUCAGGUCGGGGUCGAACUCCUCUACUCCCUGUGUGGCGUAUGAGUCUCGACCCCAGCAUGCUGGCCUGAGCUCUCGUUUCAUCUCGCUCACAAUAAAUCUUCCUCGUGUGAUUACA